This 439-nucleotide ribosomal RNA is filed under the name uncultured bacterium. Its description in RNAcentral is "bacterial SSU rRNA". It matches the Rfam family "Bacterial small subunit ribosomal RNA", at positions 338 to 795 of the family's 1533-position model. The record is from RNAcentral.
CCUACGGGGGGCUGCAGUGGGGAAUCUUGCGCAAUGGGCGAAAGCCUGACGCAGCGACGCCGCGUGAGCGAAGAAGGCCUUCGGGUCGUAAAGCUCAGUCAUUGGGGAUGAGAUGACAGUACCCAAGGAGCAAGCCCCGGCUAACUACGUGCCAGCAGCCGCGGUAAGACGUAGGGGGCGAGCGUUGUCCGGAAUUACUGGGCGUAAAGAGCACGUAGGCGGGUGUUUAAGUCAGGUGUGAAAGACCGCAGCCUAACUGCGGGGUUGCACUUGAAACUGAAUAUCUUGAGGGCAGGAGAGGUCAGUGGAAUUCCUGGUGUAGCGGUGAAAUGCGUAGAAAUCCGGAGGAACACCAGUGGCGAAGGCGACUGACUGGACUGACCCUGACGCUGAGGUGCGAAAGCGUGGGUAGCAAACAGGAUUAGAUACCCUUGUAGUC